Molecule: ribosomal RNA, 1982 nt
Filed under: human gut metagenome
Description: bacterial LSU rRNA
Rfam family: Bacterial large subunit ribosomal RNA
Source: RNAcentral
UCAAGCUAAAAAGGGCGCAAGGUGAAUGCCUUGGCACUGGGAGCCGAUGAAAGACGUGGUAAGCUGCGAAAAGCUUCGGGGAGGAGCAAACAUCCAUUGAUCCGGAGAUAUCUGAAUGGGGCAACCCAAUGGAGUUCAUACUCCAUUAUCCAAUACUGAAUCCAUAGGUAUUGGAAGGGAACCGCCUGAACUGAAACAUCUAAGUAGGGCGAGGAAGAGACAUCAAACGAGAUUCCGUAAGUAGUGGCGAGCGAACGCGGAAGAGGGCAAACCGAGAGGAGAAAUCCUUUCGGGGUACGGACUGCUUUAAGGACUGAAAGAGUUAACAGAAUGGCAUGGGAAGGCCAACCGAAGAGUGUGAGAGUCACGUAAGUAAAAAUUCUGACAGCUGCGCAGGAUCCAGAGUACGGCCAGACACGUGAAACCUGGUCGGAACAUGGGGGGACCACCCUCCAACCCUAAAUACUACCCAGUGACCGAUAGCGUAUAGUACUGUGAAGGAAAGGUGAAAAGGACCCCGGGAGGGGAGUGAAAGAGAACCUGAAACCUUGUGCCUACAAGCACAUAGAGCCCGUCAAAGGGUGAUAUGGUACUUUUUGUAGAACGGUCCGGCGAGCGAUUGUACGUUGCGAGCUUAAGGUCUUAAGGACUGGAGGCGUAGCGAGAGCGAGUCUAAACAGGGCGUUUAGUAGCGUGCAAUGGGCCCGAAACCGGGUGACCUACCCAUGAUCAGGCUGAAGUGAAAGUAAAAUUUCAUGGAGGGCCGAACCGACCUCCGUUGAAAAGGCGGCGGAUGAAUUGUGGGUAGCGGAGAAAUUCCAAUCGAACUCGGAGAUAGCUGGUUCUCCCCGAAAUAGCUUUAGGGCUAGCCUCAUGUUAGAUAUCCGGAGGUAAAGCACUGAAUGGCCUAGCGUCCGAGAGGAUAGCGAAGCCUAUCAAACUAAGAAUGCCGGAAUAUUGAUGCAUGGGAGUCAGACAGUGUGAGAUAAAUCUCAUUGUCAAAAGGGAAACAGCCCAGAUCUACAGCUAAGGUCCCAAAUUGUAUCUAAGUGGAAAACGAUGUGGAAAUACGCAGACAACCAGGAUGUUGGCUCAGAAGCAGCCACUCAUUUAAAGAGUGCGUAAUAGCUCACUGGUCGAGCGUCUCUGCGCGGAAAAUUUAACGGGGCUAAGAUACAAACCGAAGCUUAGGCUGCACUUUUAGUGCGGGGUAGGGGAGCGUUGUGUAAGCGGAGAAACGAUAGCGUAAGCGGUCGUGGAGUUUACAGAAGUGAGAAUGCCGGAAUGAGUAGCGCGAAUGAUGUGAGAAUCAUCAUGGCCGGAAACCUCAGGUUUUUGGAGGAAGGUUCGUCCGCUCCAAGUUAGGCGGGAGCUAAGGUGAGGCCGAAAGGCGUAGCCGAUGCACAGACGGUAGAGAUUCCGUCCCCACCGAAAGAUUUAAGCGCAGGGACACUUUUAGAAGGUCGGAGCCAGGUGUUGGUUCUGGUAGAGAUCGAGGGAAGAUUAGUACCGAAGUCCGGCUGGAUAAGAGGCGAGAAAAGCUGCGUGUAUAUCUAAGGUGCCCGUACCGCAAACCGACACAGGUAGGUAGGAAGAAGAUUCUAAGGCCAACGGGAGAAGGGUUGUUAAGGAACUCGGCAAGUUGACCCCGUAACUUCGGAAUAAGGGGUGCUCACGAGAGUGAGCCGCAGAGAAUAGGCCCAGGCAACUGUUUACCAAAAACACAGGUUUGUGCUAAAUCGAAAGAUGACGUAUACGAGCUGACGCCUGCCCGGUGCUGGAAGGUUAAAAGGAGAUGUGCAAGCAUUGAAUUGAAGCCCCAGUGAACGGCGGCCGUAACUAUAACGGUCCUAAGGUAGCGAAAUUCCUUGUCAGGUAAGUUCUGACCCGCAUGAAAGGCGUAAUGAUUUGGGCACUGUCUCAACAGCCCGCCCGGCGAAAUUGUAGUACCGGUGAAGAUGCCGGUUACCCGCGACAAGACG